CGCGAGACAGUUCGGUCCCUAUCUGUUAUGGGCGAUGGAAGUUUGAGAGGAGCUGCUUUUAGUACGAGAGGACCGAAGUGGACGAACCUCUGGUUUACCAGUUAUCCUGCCAAGGGUAAGUGCUGGGUAUCUAAGUCCGGAAGGGAUAACCGCUGAAAGCAUCUAAGCGGGAAGCCCACCUCAAGAUUAGACUUCCCUGGAACUUUAAGUUCCCUGAAGACUCCUGGGAGACUACCAGGUUGAUAGGAUGCAGGUGUAAGCGUCGUGAGGCGUUCAGCCGAGCAUUACUAAUAAGUCGUGAGACUUGGCCAU
Non-coding RNA from Treponema bryantii, 312 nucleotides. Lineage: Bacteria; Pseudomonadati; Spirochaetota; Spirochaetia; Treponematales; Treponemataceae. The record is from Rfam.